UGGGAUGUUUGAUUUUAGCUUCCUCUCCGU
This 30-nucleotide non-coding RNA is filed under the name Mus musculus (house mouse). The record is from RNAcentral. Lineage: Eukaryota; Metazoa; Chordata; Mammalia; Rodentia; Muridae.